GAGUGCGGCGGCUACACAUGCAGUCGAGCGAAUGGAUUAAGAGCUUGCUCUUAUGAAGUUAGCGGCGGACGGGUGAGUAACGCGUGGGUAACCUGCCCAUAAGAGUGGAAUAACUCCGGGAAACCGGGGCUAAUACCGGAUAAGAUUUUGAACCGCAUGGUUCGAAAUUGAAAGGCCGCUUCGGCUGUCACUUAUGGAUGGACCCGCGUCGCAUUAGCUAGUUGGUGAGGUAACGGCUCACCAACGCAACUAUGCGUAGCCGACCUGAGAGGGUGAUCGGCCACACUGGGACUGAGACACGGCCCAGACUCCUACGGGAGGCAACAUUAGGGAAUCUUCCGCAAUGGACGAAAGUCUGACGGAGCAACGCCGCGUGAGUGAUGAAGGCUUUCGGGUCGUAAAACUCUGUUGUUAGGGAAGAACAAGUGCUAGUUGAAUAAGCUGGCACCUUGACGGUACCUAACCAGAAAGCCACGGCUAACUACCUGCCAGCAGCCGCGGUAAUACGUAGGUGGCAAGCGUUAUCCGGAAUUAUUGGGCGUAAAGCGCGCGCAGGUGGUUUCUUAAGUCUGAUGUGAAAGCCCACGGCUCAACCGUGGAGGGUCAUUGGAAACUGGGAGACUUGAGUGCAGAAGAGGAAAGUGUAAUUCCAUGUGUAGCGGUGAAAUGCGUAGAGAUAUGGAGGAACACCAGUGGCGAAGGCGACUUUCUGGUCUGUAACUGACACUGAGGCGCGAAAGCGUGGGGAGCAAACCGAUUAGAUCCCCUGGUAGUCCA
Molecule: ribosomal RNA, 777 nt
Filed under: Bacillus cereus
Lineage: Bacteria; Bacillati; Bacillota; Bacilli; Caryophanales; Bacillaceae
Description: bacterial SSU rRNA
Rfam family: Bacterial small subunit ribosomal RNA
Source: RNAcentral